UGAGUAGGCGGAUGUGAAAGUCUUUGGUGUAAGUGCAGUGCUUAACGCUGUGAUGCUAAAGAAACUUCAUGUCUAGAAUCAGAUAGAGGCAAGUGGAAUUCCAUGUGUAGCGGUAAAAUGCGUAAAUAUAUGGAGGAACACCAGUGGCGAAGGCGGCUUGCUGGGUCUGGAUUGACGCUGAGGCACGAAAGCGUGGGGAGCAAACAGGAUUAGAUACCCUGGUAGUCCACGCCGUAAACGAUGAGUACUAAGUGUUGGAGAAAUUCAGUGCUGUAGUUAACGCAAUAAGUACUCCGCCUGAGUAGUACGUACGCAAGUAUGAA
Molecule: ribosomal RNA, 323 nt
Filed under: uncultured Acholeplasma sp.
Lineage: Bacteria; Bacillati; Mycoplasmatota; Mollicutes; Acholeplasmatales; Acholeplasmataceae
Description: bacterial SSU rRNA
Rfam family: Bacterial small subunit ribosomal RNA
Source: RNAcentral